CCUACGAGAGGCAGCAGUGAGGAAUAUUGGUCAAUGGACGGAAGUCUGAACCAGCCAUGCCGCGUGCAGGAAGACGGCUCUAUGAGUUGUCAACUGCUUUUGUACAAGGGUAAACCUGAAUACGUGUAUUCAGCUGAAAGUACUUUACGAAUAAGGAUCGGCUAACUCCGUUCCAGCCGCCGCGGUAAUAAGGAGGAUCCAAGCGUUAUCCGGAUUUAUUGGGUUUAAAGGGGGCGUAGGCGGAUGUAGAAGUGAGAGGUGAAAUGUCCGAGCUUAAUUCGGGAACUGCCUCGAAUACUGUUGAUCUAGAGAGUAGAUGCGGUAGGCGGAAGGUAUGGUGUAGCGGUGAAAUGCUUAGAGAUCAUACAGAACACCGAUUGCGAAGGCAGCUUACCAAUCUAUAUCUGACGUUGAGGCACGAAAGCGUGGGGAGCAAACAGGAUUAGAUACCCCAGUAGUC
This 460-nucleotide ribosomal RNA is filed under the name uncultured bacterium. RNAcentral's name for it is "partial 16S ribosomal RNA". It matches the Rfam family "Bacterial small subunit ribosomal RNA", at positions 338 to 795 of the family's 1533-position model. The record is from RNAcentral.